AGUAAGAUGCCUGAAAAAGGGAAAUUCUGAUAGAAUUUAUAAUGGACCUCCUCUUACUA
This 59-nucleotide transfer RNA is filed under the name Liphistius erawan. RNAcentral's name for it is "tRNA-Ile". The record is from RNAcentral. Lineage: Eukaryota; Metazoa; Arthropoda; Arachnida; Araneae; Liphistiidae.